UGACGGCAUGAAAAUUAAGGGGCCAUUGCCUAUCUGGUGGACAACUGAUCGUCUAACUUAUCUGCAAUCAUUUGCUAAAGGAUCUAGAAUUUCUGCUAGAGAACUUGCUGCAAAACCUCACUUCACUUCAAUGCCAUAAUAUUUGGGAUUGUCCACAAAUAACAACCUUGUCUUCUGAUUUGCGGCAUUCAGAAGUGGAAAAAUCAUUGGUUCUGGAAAAAAAAAGAAAAAAAAAAAAAGAAAAAAAAAAGAGAUUCAACACUUCAUAUUGCUUCAAAUCUAACUUAUUCCUUCCACCAGUUGAGUGGAUUGUUUGCAACUUUUGUCACCGAAUGCAUGUUCUGAAUGAGAUCUAGAGUUUGGGACGUAAAGUUGUUGAAGAUCAAAUCUUAUAAGAAUAAGAUUUUAUGCAGAGUUUGGAAACCGAUAAUGGUUCCGUCUUGUUGAAAGAUGCUAGAGAAGAGCAGCUACGAAUUGGUCUCUCUUGUGCAAGAAAGUGUUUGUUUUGUCUGGUAGAUUGUGCAAAAAUUUCAGUCUUUAUGGACCCAAUUUCAGUUUAGACUUCAAAGGAAAACCUGUGGGCACAACAAUCAUGCAGACCUACAUGGAUGGGAAUCAUUGUGAUGAAGGUCAUUUUCAUCUAUCAACUCUCUUCACCUCAUUCCUUUCAACAAUGGGAUUUAUGCAUGAUAAUUACCUUGAAUUGAAGUUUCAUCUCCCUUGCCUAGAGAAACUGCUGAUUGCAAGGAUUUUCAUAUUUACAAUAAUGAAUGGCUUUGGAUGAACUUCAACUUGCCGCCACAUUUUAACAACUUGGGACUGUAGAAUUUCUUUAUUGAUGGCUUCUGCAGAUAAGGUUUGACUGUUCAACAUUCCCAAUGAUGUUCAUGUGCAUUACUGUUGUUGUUGAGUGAUUGGUUCUCUCCCCAUUUACAUCAUCAUUUGGGCAGUAGUCAUUCUAUGUGAAUAAUGGCAUGAAUCGUUGACCCAUAAUUGAAAGUUAAAUAUGGAGUGACUAUGAGUCUCUUCCAUCAAAGCAUCGACCUGUAUCUUCGUGGAUCCCUCUGCCACUAAAUCACCUCAAGUGGAACGUUGAAGGUUCCUCCCUAGGAUUGAUGAUUCAAGCGCCGCAGAGUUAAAGGCCAUUCAAAAAGCGCUUGUUGUCUGUUUCUCCUCCUCUUUACCCUACUAAUGCUGUCGGUAUCCUUAUUGAAACUGACCCUAAGAUCGCUGUGUCUUGGGUGAAUAACGAUGACACUAAGACAGUACACCUCGGCGUCUCUCCUCUGUGCUGAACUCUAUUAGCUGCAACCUAAAGCGCCUCCCUAAUGCCGGGGUGAGUCAUGCUCCUAGAGCAGUGAAUUGCUUCGCUGACUCUCUUGCAAACAGGGAUUGUACCGCAAUUGUAUCUGUUAGCUUUGUUAUAAUUGCUUUGCGUCACUUUCUGUUGACAUAGGUAGAAGGUCUUGCUUCAUUAGGUUGGGUGUAAGGGAUAUGCCUGCUGGCAUGGGUUUAGUUGGACGCAGCCUUCUAUCCAUUUCUCUUUUCAUUAAUAAAUUGCAUUUUGCUUGUAUAUAAAAAAGGGAAGUAUUAUGUAUUGAUUUAAAAUAUUAUACACAGUUUUCAAUUGUAUGAAGCGUUUUUUGAGAAA
Molecule: long non-coding RNA, 1651 nt
Organism: Hevea brasiliensis (rubber tree)
Lineage: Eukaryota; Viridiplantae; Streptophyta; Magnoliopsida; Malpighiales; Euphorbiaceae
Exons: 10
Source: RefSeq, a predicted model, not a curated record